Homo sapiens (human) is the source of this 285-nucleotide long non-coding RNA. Lineage: Eukaryota; Metazoa; Chordata; Mammalia; Primates; Hominidae. The record is from Ensembl.
AGACAGGAUCUCAUCAUCUUGCACACACUGGUCUCAAACUCCUGGGCUCAAGUGAUCCUCUUGCCUUGGCCUCCCAAAAUAUUGGGAUUACAGGUGUGAGCCACAGGUCCCAGCCAAAAUGGUCUCUCUUAAGAAUGCUUUUCUUACCAUCUUAAAAAAGUUGAACAAGAAAAGGCAUUUUCUCGUUGCCUCUGGGCCACUGAUAUGAACAUUACUGAGCGAUGACACAAUAAGGGGACUACAGGAUGUUCAGUGGUGUCUGUUCUGUAGGACGCAGGUCUGGAG